AGUCGAGCGAGUCUGCCUUGAAAUCGGAGUGCUUGCACUCUGUGAAACAAGAUACAGGCUAGCGGCGGACGGGUGAGUAACACGUGGGUAACCUGCCCAAGAGAUCGGGAUAACACCUGGAAACAGAUGCUAAUACCGGAUAACAACAGAUGAUGCCUAUCAACUGUUUAAAAGAUGGUUCUGCUAUCACUCUUGGAUGGACCUGCGGUGCAUUAGCUAGUUGGUAGGGUAACGGCCUACCAAGGCGAUGAUGCAUAGCCGAGUUGAGAGACUGAUCGGCCACAUUGGGACUGAGACACGGCCCAAACUCCUACGGGAGGCAGCAGUAGGGAAUCUUCCACAAUGGACGCAAGUCUGAUGGAGCAACGCCGCGUGAGUGAAGAAGGGUUUCGGCUCGUAAAGCUCUGUUGUUGGUGAAGAAGGACAGGGGUAGUAACUGACCUUUGUUUGACGGUAAUCAAUUAGAAAGUCACGGCUAACUACGUGCCAGCAGCCGCGGUAAUACGUAGGUGGCAAGCGUUGUCCGGAUUUAUUGGGCGUAAAGCGAGUGCAGGCGGCUCGAUAAGUCUGAUGUGAAAGCCUUCGGCUCAACCGGAGAAUUGCAUCAGAAACUGUCGAGCUUGAGUACAGAAGAGGAGAGUGGAAC
This 646-nucleotide ribosomal RNA is filed under the name uncultured bacterium. RNAcentral's name for it is "bacterial SSU rRNA". It matches the Rfam family "Bacterial small subunit ribosomal RNA", at positions 60 to 667 of the family's 1533-position model. The record is from RNAcentral.